AAAGAAUAAACAGGAGCACCAUGAAUGUUAGGAAAGAAAGUGUACGAGCANCCCAGGAAUUAGCUGUGCUGCGGGUAUCUAGAUGAUGCCCCGAAAGAUUCGGCGGCUUUUCCAGCUGCGAAUCAGCUCCUGGCUGGGACGAGGGAAUUAGGGGCAGCGGGAAAUCCUGUUAGCAGAGCCAUGUCUGCGGGAAAGGAUAAUCCCGUAAUUGGAGGCAUCUGCCGCGGCACAGUUAACUCAGCNGGCCCGCAGCCCUGCCAGGUCGCCCUGGUGGACGAGGACCCGUCGCUCGGCGCUGCCCGAAGGCCGGCGGAGCGCAAGCCCGACGCGCCCCCCUGCUUGGGCGAGCUGGACGGGCCGCUUCCCGCCAGGCUCCCCUUCGUGCUCCGCAGCAGGUGACCGUCCCCUGGGUGCCUGGGGCUGGCUGGACCCACCCACUCUCGUUAAUCCAAUCUGUGUGCCGUGUGGUCCAAUAAUCCCUUCCCCUGCUCCUCGGGGAUUACCGCACGAGAGCUCCGGACGCCGUUGCAGCCAGCAUCUUGCAAGAGAUGCUGAAGGAGACAGGGACGGCGCGCCAAUACUGGUUCCGUUCCGGGCGCAGGCACCAGCAUGCUGGGCUGGAUCCAGAAGGUCGUCCCCCAGCCUCCCCUAAGUCCCUCUGUCCUCGUGAUGGUGAAGAACGAUACGCAGGUGGGAGCAAAGCUGGAAGCGAGGCCGCUGGCAGAAGGAACUCCAGGCUGUCCAGCGAAAGGGUGCAAUGCAGAAAGCGUCAGCGGGAGCCACGAUCCUGGAUCGGCCACAGAGAGUGUUGGCCAUGGUGUGCUUACCUGGAUAUCACAGGGGCUGGAGAAGGUGAUGCCACAGCCAGCUCAGAGCCCACCGCAUAUGCUGCAGAUGGCCGAAAGGAGCUUUGAGGGCAGCAUAGAUGUCCCAGACGUGACAGAAGUCCAGAGCAUACUAGAGGAACUGGAAGAGGAAGAUCCAGAACUAGACAUAAUUGUGCUUAAGCCUGAAGAAGACAACAGUGUCUUGCAGUCCAGCUCAGACAAUAACGCUCAAGAGAAAAGUGGUGGGAAAAAAGUGUUGACUUGGCUAAUGGAAGAAUUUGGAAAAAUGAUUCCUCAACCAGAGCACCUUAAAAAGCAUGAGGUAAGGGCAGAAGAGGCUUCCUGUCCAGGGACAAGGAAACGAGACCCAGGUUGCAAAAUUCACAUGCACUGCACAGUGCCGUGUGAGUUUAUGAGCUGCAUGAAGCGUGC
Molecule: long non-coding RNA, 1259 nt
Filed under: Salvator merianae (Argentine black and white tegu)
Lineage: Eukaryota; Metazoa; Chordata; Lepidosauria; Squamata; Teiidae
Description: lncRNA (ENSSMRG00000001824.1)
Source: RNAcentral